UCCUUCGUAGCUCAGUCAGUAGAGAAUCUGCCUGCAAUGCAGGAGACCUGGGUUUGAUUCCUGGGUGAGGAA
This 72-nucleotide transfer RNA is filed under the name Bos taurus (domestic cattle). It matches the Rfam family "tRNA". Rfam says of the family: Transfer RNA (tRNA) molecules are approximately 80 nucleotides in length. Their secondary structure includes four short double-helical elements and three loops (D, anti-codon, and T loops). RNAcentral also lists the same sequence under 3 other names. Lineage: Eukaryota; Metazoa; Chordata; Mammalia; Artiodactyla; Bovidae. The record is from Rfam by way of RNAcentral.